UACGUAGGGAGCAAGCGUUGUCCGGAAUCAUUGGGCGUAAAGCGCGCGUAGGUGGCCCGGUAAGUCCGCUCUGAAAGUCACAGGCUCAACCUGUGAAAGCGGGUGGAUACUGCCGGGCUAGAGUCCGGAAGAGGCGAGUGGAAUUCCUGGUGUAGCGGUGAAAUGCGCAGAUAUCAGGAGGAACACCGGUGGCGAAGGCGGGUCUCUGGGCCGAUACUGACGCUGAGGAGCGAAAGCGUGGGGAGCGAACAGG
Molecule: ribosomal RNA, 253 nt
Filed under: uncultured bacterium
Lineage: Bacteria
Description: partial 16S ribosomal RNA
Rfam family: Bacterial small subunit ribosomal RNA
Source: RNAcentral